AUGUAAAUUCCUACAACAUAGUGUUAAUGCACCAGAUCCUAUUAGAACUCUGUAGUUAAGCACACUUAGGCUAGAAUAGUAAUUGGAUGGGUGACCGCCUGAGUAUUCCUAGUGUUUUACAUG
Molecule: non-coding RNA, 123 nt
Organism: Picea glauca (white spruce)
Lineage: Eukaryota; Viridiplantae; Streptophyta; Pinopsida; Pinales; Pinaceae
Source: Rfam